Molecule: ribosomal RNA, 429 nt
Filed under: Actinomycetes bacterium
Lineage: Bacteria; Bacillati; Actinomycetota; Actinomycetes
Description: Actinobacteria bacterium partial 16S ribosomal RNA
Rfam family: Bacterial small subunit ribosomal RNA
Source: RNAcentral
UAGGGAAUCUUCCGCAAUGGGCGAAAGCCUGACGGAGCAACGCCGCGUGAGUGAUGAAGGUCUUCGGAUCGUAAAACUCUGUUAUUAGGGAAGAACAAAUGUGUAAGUAACUAUGCACGUCUUGACGUUACCUAAUCAGAAAGCCACGCCUAACUACGUGCCAGCAGCCGCGGUAAUACGUAGGCGGCAAGCGUUAUCCGGAAUUAUUGGGCGUAAAGCGCGCGUGGGCGGUUUUUUAAGUCUGAUGUGAAAGCCCACGGCUCAACCGUGGAGGGUCAUUGGAAACUGGAAAACUUGAGUGCAGAAGAGGAAAGUGUAAUUCCAUGUGUGGCGGUGAAAUGCGCAGAGAUAUGGAGAAACACCAGUGGCGAAGGCGACUUUCUGGUAUGUAACUGACGCUGAUGUGCGAAAGCGUGGGGAUCAAACAGG